AGCAUAUUUCGUAUUUCUUGAUCCAUUUAUACCCUUUCAUCUCCACCAAAACCCUUUUAUACUACCGAUGAUUUCGCCGCCGCCAACCACCGGUUCGAACCUAUCUCGCCAGUUUGUUUCGCAGGUGGUUCGUCUGGCUUGAGCCAAAUCAAACCCGUUGAGCACCACCACCGCGAUUGAUCGAGCAUCCGGUAAGCUUCUCUUUCCAUUCCAUUGUUCCUAAUUCGGGAGCUCCAUGAUUGACCCUUUGUUAGCCACCAUUGCCGAGUUCUUUUAGUCGUCUCUGUUCACACCAGUGACAUACCGAUAAUUCUGAGCCACCGCAUCGACUCCGUCUAAAGGUCUUCGUUGAACCUACCCCACCGCACCGGCCGUCGAUUUUCUAGACAUAAGGUUUUCAUAAACGAUUGGGAAGAAGUUAGCAUUGCCGGUAUUGUCAUCGUAGAUUGCUUAAGAUACUCAGGGAAAUCGGGGAAAUGUGUGAAGAGUGAUAAUAAAAAGCUAGAGUUGGAACAAGGAGUUUAAUAAAACCUUAUAUUCAAUAAAUUUAGACACUUAUGUUUUUCUGUUGACACCGUUAUGUCAUUUUAGGGAUUUUUGUUUUUAAACCUAUGGAAUUUAUGUUUUAAUUAAGUUAUUAAUUAUCUCUGAUUA
Long non-coding RNA from Helianthus annuus (common sunflower), 654 nucleotides. RefSeq lists it as uncharacterized. NCBI's taxonomy places the organism in Eukaryota, Viridiplantae, Streptophyta, Magnoliopsida, Asterales, Asteraceae. The transcript is spliced from 3 exons. The record is from RefSeq and is a predicted model, not a curated record.